AUGGCCACUAUAGCCGCGGAGAUGCAGUGCCCCGUCACUCACUUUCCCAUCACCUACCUCGGGCUGCCCCUCUCUAUCCGCAAGGCCUCUUUGACGAGCUUGCAAUCGAUCAUCGACAAGCUUGGGCGCAAGCUCUCCACAUGGCGGGCAUCCAUGCUAUCCAAGGGAGACCGUCUAUCCCUUGUGCGCCACGUCCUCAGUGCCAUCCCCACGCACUUCCUCAUGGCCAUCGCCUUCAACAGCACCGCCAUCAAGAAGGUGAACCGGAUCAUCCGUGGAUUCUUAUGGGCAGGAUCGGAUAAGGCCAACGGUGGCCAGUGCCUCGUCAACUGGCAGCGUGUAUGCCGGCCUAUCUUCCUCGGUGGUCUCGGUAUCCGGGACAUACAGCGUACGGGCAUCUCUCUCCGUGUUCGUUGGCUAUGGUUGCAACGCACCGAUGCUACUCGCCCAUGGAGCCACCUUCACGUCCCCCACGACGCGGACGCGAGUGCAAUUUUCAGGGCCUCCACGACCUGGCAGCUUGGAGCGGGAGACUCUUGCAGAUUUUGGACCGACCACUGGAUCUCCGGCAGCUCUAUGGCCGAGAUUGCCCCUCUCGUUCUCGCUCUCGUCCCAAGGCGCCUUUGGAAGCAACGCUGCGUGCGUGAGGGUCUACACCAGCGCUCUUGGGUACAGGAUAUCCGCGGUGCACUUGGGCCGGCGGCCAUGGUGCAGUACAUUCAGCUUUGGCGCUUGGUGCGUCACACUACUCUCUCCAAUGAGCCGGACACGCUACGCUGGCGUUGGACCUCAUCUGCUACAUACACGGCAAGCUCUUGCUACAAGGCCCUAUUCUUCGGCGCUUGUGAAGACCCUUUCUGGCGGCUCACCUGGCGACCUUGGGCCCCGCUCCGCGUCAAGUUCUUCCUUUGGCUGGCCAUGCAAAACCGAUGCUGGACCGCGGAGCGCCUGGCUCGCCGCGGAUUGCCCCACGACGACGCUUGCGUAUUGUGUGACCAGGACGAUGAGACCAUGCACCACCUUCUUGCCGGUUGCUCCUUCUCUCGCCAAAUUUGGCACGAGACCCUCGGCUGGGCACGUGUGCCCAUCAGCCUCCCUGCCCCCGACACGCCAUUCCAAGUGUGGUGGCAAUCCUCCCUCGACAUCGCGCCCGCUUCCAUGCGCAAGGGUAUAUCCUCCCUCAUCAUCCUCACAGCUUGGUGGAUUUGGAAGCAACGUAAUCCUGCAUCUUUGACGGAGCGACACCAUCGAUCACCUUCACCUCUGACACCAUCAAGGACGAGGCACGACUAUGGGCCAAGGCGGGCGCCACCGGACUGCAAAACAUUAUCCCCGGCGCGUAGUCUCUAG
This 1350-nucleotide ribosomal RNA is filed under the name Triticum aestivum (bread wheat). Its description in RNAcentral is "partial small subunit ribosomal RNA". The record is from RNAcentral. Lineage: Eukaryota; Viridiplantae; Streptophyta; Magnoliopsida; Poales; Poaceae.